CACUCCUGAGGCUUUCCACCCAUGAAGCCCUCAGGCUGACGGAUGUCGCCCUGGGCUUCUGCAGGGCUGGGCCAUCAAGGGCCCAGGAUCCUCCUGGACAAGCAGCAGCUGAUGUUGGAUGAGUCCGGAGGGGGCCUUGUGAAGCCUGGGGCGUCCCUGACCCUGGUCUGCAAGGCCUCUGGAUACACCUUCAGCAGCGUCGGCAUGAACUGGGUGCGACAGGCGCCCGGGAAGGCGCUUGAGUGGGUUGCGAAAAUUAACAGUGGUGGUAGUAGCCCAUGGUACGCGUCGGCGGUGAAGGGACGCUUCACCAUCUCCAGGAACAACGGGCAGAGCACGCUCACCCUGCAGAUGAACAGCCUCAAGGCCGAAGACACCGCCACCUACUACUGUGCGAAAGGUGCUGGUGAUGAUGCUUUCAGUGAAAUUGAUGGUUCCGGUAAGAUUGGUGGUGUUGGUAACUUUGAUGCUGUUGUCGGUGAUGUUGAUGGCAUUAAUAAUUAUCAUGGUGUCGAUGAUGUCGACGGUGUUGAUAAUGAUCAUAGAACCAUGGACUCAUAAAAACACAAGUUUGGA
Non-coding RNA from Cygnus olor (mute swan), 576 nucleotides. Lineage: Eukaryota; Metazoa; Chordata; Aves; Anseriformes; Anatidae. The record is from the annotation of a RefSeq genome assembly.